RNAcentral lists this ribosomal RNA (465 nucleotides) under uncultured Fictibacillus sp. RNAcentral's name for it is "bacterial SSU rRNA". It matches the Rfam family "Bacterial small subunit ribosomal RNA", at positions 338 to 795 of the family's 1533-position model. The record is from RNAcentral. Lineage: Bacteria; Bacillati; Bacillota; Bacilli; Caryophanales; Fictibacillaceae.
CCUACGGGUGGCAGCAGUAGGGAAUCUUCGGCAAUGGACGAAAGUCUGACCGAGCAACGCCGCGUGAGCGAUGAAGGCCUUCGGGUCGUAAAGCUCUGUUGUCAGAGAAGAACAAGUACCGGAGUAACUGCCGGUACCUUGACGGUACCUGACCAGAAAGCCACGGCUAACUACGUGCCAGCAGCCGCGGUAAUACGUAGGUGGCAAGCGUUAUCCGGAAUUAUUGGGCGUAAAGCGCGCGCAGGCGGUUCCUUAAGUCUGAUGUGAAAGCCCACGGCUCAACCGUGGAGGGUCAUUGGAAACUGGGGAACUUGAGUGCAGGAGAGAAAAGUGGAAUUCCACGUGUAGCGGUGAAAUGCGUAGAGAUGUGGAGGAACACCAGUGGCGAAGGCGGCUUUUUGGCCUGUAACUGACGCUGAGGCGCGAAAGCGUGGGGAGCAAACAGGAUUAGAUACCCGAGUAGUC